CCUUUGAAAUUUGAUUGAAUUGUGGAAAUGAUGAAAUGUUGAUGUUAAACCCAUGAAAUUCGAUUGAAUUGUGUGAAUGAUGAAAUUUGAUUGAAUUAUGGGAAUGAUGAAAGUGAUGUUGUUAAACCUAUGAAAUUUGAUUGAAUUGUGUGAAUGAUGAAAUGUUGAUGUUAAACCCAUGAAAUUCGAUUGAAUUGUAUGAAUGAUGAAAUGUUGAUGUUAAACACAUGAAAUUCGAUCGAAUUGUGUGAAUGAUAAAAAUGAUGACGUUAAAAACAGGAAAUUUGAUUGAAUUGUGGGAAUGAUGAAAAUGAUGAUGUUAAUCCCAUGAAGUUUGAUUGAAUUGUAGGAAUGAUGAAACUGAUUAUGUUAAUCCCAUGAAAUUUGAUUGAAUUGUGGGAAUGAUGAAAAUGAUGAUGUUAAACCCAUGAAAUUUGAUUGAAUUGUGUGAUUAAAUGAAAAUAUUGUUGUUAAAAUUGAAUUGUGGGAAUGAUGAAAAUGAUGAUGUUAAACCCAUGAAAUUUGAUUGAAUUGUGUGAUUAAAUGAAAAUAUUGUUGUUAAAACCAUGAAAUUUGAUUGAAAUAUAUGAAUGAUAAAAAUUAUUCUGUUAAACCCUUAAAAUCU
Molecule: long non-coding RNA, 625 nt
Filed under: Lathyrus oleraceus (garden pea)
Lineage: Eukaryota; Viridiplantae; Streptophyta; Magnoliopsida; Fabales; Fabaceae
Description: Pisum sativum (pea) long non-coding RNA (PSAT_LNC040903)
Source: RNAcentral